UGUUUUGCUUCUUUUUUUUUUUUCUCUUUUUUCUU
Molecule: small RNA, 35 nt
Filed under: Arabidopsis thaliana (thale cress)
Lineage: Eukaryota; Viridiplantae; Streptophyta; Magnoliopsida; Brassicales; Brassicaceae
Description: ATSL122100
Source: RNAcentral